Molecule: ribosomal RNA, 305 nt
Filed under: uncultured bacterium
Lineage: Bacteria
Description: bacterial SSU rRNA
Rfam family: Bacterial small subunit ribosomal RNA
Source: RNAcentral
UUCCUACGGGGGGCAGCAGUGAGGAAUAUUGGUCAAUGGGCGGAAGCCUGAACCAGCCAAGUCGCGUGAGGGAAUAAGGCCCUACGGGUCGUAAACCUCUUUUGCCGGGGAGCAAGGGCGGGGACGUGUCCCGGCCCGGAGAGUACCCGGAGAAAAAGCAUCGGCUAACUCCGUGCCAGCAGCCGCGGUAACACGUAGGGGGCAAGCGUUAUCCGGAUUUACUGGGUGUAAAGGGAGCGUAGGCGGUUCAGCAAGUCAGAAGUGAAAGCCCGGGGCUCAACUCCGGGACUGCUUUUGAAACUGUU